GCCCUGGUAGCCUAAUGGAUAAGGCGUUGGCCUCCUAAGCCAAAGGUUGCAGGUUCGAGUCCUGCUCAGGGUA
Molecule: transfer RNA, 73 nt
Organism: Conidiobolus coronatus NRRL 28638
Lineage: Eukaryota; Fungi; Entomophthoromycota; Entomophthoromycetes; Entomophthorales; Conidiobolaceae
Rfam family: tRNA
About the family: Transfer RNA (tRNA) molecules are approximately 80 nucleotides in length. Their secondary structure includes four short double-helical elements and three loops (D, anti-codon, and T loops).
Source: Rfam